RNAcentral lists this ribosomal RNA (864 nucleotides) under uncultured archaeon. Its description in RNAcentral is "bacterial SSU rRNA". It matches the Rfam family "Archaeal small subunit ribosomal RNA", at positions 39 to 909 of the family's 1478-position model. The record is from RNAcentral.
UGAUACUAAGCCAUGCGAGUCAUUGUAGCAAUACAAGGCAUACGGCUCAGUAACGCGUAGUCAACCUAACCUAUGGACGGGAAUAACCUCGGGAAACUGAGAAUAAUGCCCGAUAGAACAUUAUGCCUGGAAUGGUUUAUGUUCCAAAUGAUUUAUCGCCGUAGGAUGGGACUGCGGCCUAUCAGUUUGUUGGUGAGGUAAUGGCCCACCAAGACUAUUACAGGUACGGGCUCUGAGAGGAGUAGCCCGGAGAUGGGUACUGAGACACGGACCCAGGCCCUAUGGGGCGCAGCAGGCGAGAAAACUUUGCAAUGUGCGAAAGCACGACAAGGUUAAUCCGAGUGGUUUCUGCUAAAGGAACCUUUUGUCAGUCCUAGAAACACUGAUGAAUAAGGGGUGGGCAAGUUCUGGUGUCAGCCGCCGCGGUAAAACCAGCACCUCAAGUGGUCAGGAUGAUUAUUGGGCCUAAAGCAUCCGUAGCCGGCUCUGUAAGUUUUCGGUUAAAUCUGUACGCUCAACGUACAGGCUGCCGGGAAUACUGCAGAGCUAGGGGGUGGGAGAGGUAGACGGUACUCGGUAGGAAGGGGUAAAAUCCUUUGAUCUAUUGAUGACCACCUGUGGCGAAGGCGGUCUACCAGAACACGUCCGACGGUGAGGGAUGAAAGCUGGGGGAGCAAACCGGAUUAGAUACCCGGGUAGUCCCAGCUGUAAACCAUGCAAACUCAGUGAUGCAUUGGCUUGUGGCCAAUGCAGUGCUGCAGGGAAGCCGUUAAGUUUGCCGCCUGGGAAGUACGUACGCAAGUAUGAAACUUAAAGGAAUUGGCGGGGGAGCACCACAAGGGGUGAAGCCUGCGGUUCAAUUGG